This 238-nucleotide ribosomal RNA is filed under the name uncultured bacterium. Its description in RNAcentral is "partial 16S ribosomal RNA". It matches the Rfam family "Bacterial small subunit ribosomal RNA", at positions 96 to 334 of the family's 1533-position model. The record is from RNAcentral.
CGGCGAACGGGUGAGUAACACGUGAGCAACCUGCCCCGAAGACUGGGAUAACACCGGGAAACCGGUGCUAAUACCGGAUAUCCUCCUCUGAUCGCAUGGUCUAGGGAGGAAAGGAAUUUUGCUUCGGGAGGGGCUCGCGGGCUAUCAGCUUGUUGGUGGGGUAACGGCCUACCAAGGCGACGACGGCUAGCUGGUCUGAGAGGACGACCAGCCACACUGGGACUGAGACACGGCCCAG